UGUGUGUGGCCUGAAGGUUAAAUAUUUAAGAUUUGAAUUCUCACCAACCUUAACUUGGAUUGGAGACGGUCUGUCUUUAAUCACAACCAUCCAUGAUUGGCUCGAUAGAUGGAAUUAGAUGGGUCCCACCAUAGCAUUUGGGGCAAUGUAUUGGUAUGUCCCAUAUCCAAUCACAGCUAUCGCACCCAUCACAGGUGGCUAUGAUUAGAAGACAG
RNAcentral lists this long non-coding RNA (215 nucleotides) under Elaeis guineensis (African oil palm). RNAcentral's name for it is "long non-coding RNA (EGUI_LNC039818)". Lineage: Eukaryota; Viridiplantae; Streptophyta; Magnoliopsida; Arecales; Arecaceae. The record is from RNAcentral.